Molecule: ribosomal RNA, 492 nt
Filed under: uncultured bacterium
Lineage: Bacteria
Description: partial 16S ribosomal RNA
Rfam family: Bacterial small subunit ribosomal RNA
Source: RNAcentral
ACUCAAAGGAAUUGACGGGGACUCGCACAAGCAGUGGAGCAUGUGGUUUAAUCCGAUACGACGCGUAGAACCUUACCAAGGCUUGACAUGACCGGCAAAACUGCGGAAACGCAGCCGAGGUUAUCCGGCCACAGGUGCUGCAUGGCCAUCGUCAGUUCGUGCCGUGAGGUGUAUGGUUAAGUCCUAUAACGAACGCAACCCUUGGGCUUAGUUAUCAGCAUUUAGUUGGAAACUCUAAGCCGACUGCCUAAGUAAUUAGGAGGAAGGAAAGGAUGACGUUUGGUCGUCAUGGCCCUUAUGCCUUGGGCGACACACGUGCUACAAUGGUUAAGACAAAGCGUUGCCAACCCGCGAGGGGGAGCUAACCGCAAAAAAUUAGCCUCAGUUCGGAUUGGAGGCUGCAACUCGCCUCCAUGAAGUUGGAAUUGCUAGUAAUCGUGAAUCAGCCAUGUCACGGUGAAUACGUUCUCGAGUCUUGUACACACCGCCCGU